This 391-nucleotide ribosomal RNA is filed under the name uncultured bacterium. RNAcentral describes it as "partial 16S ribosomal RNA". It matches the Rfam family "Bacterial small subunit ribosomal RNA", at positions 523 to 918 of the family's 1533-position model. The record is from RNAcentral.
AUACGGAGGAUCCGAGCGUUAUCCGGAUUUAUUGGGUUUAAAGGGAGCGUAGGUGGAUUGUUAAGUCAGUUGUGAAAGUUUGCGGCUCAACCGUACAAUUGCAGUUGAAACUGGCAGUCUUGAGUACAGUAGAUGUGCGGAAUUCGUGGUGUAGCGGUGAAAUGCUUAGAUAUCACGAAGAACUCCGAUUGCGAAGGCAGCUCACUAGACUGUUACUGACACUGAUGCUCGAAAGUGUGGGUAUCAAACAGGAUUAGAUACCCUGGUAGUCCACACAGUAAACGAUGAAUACUCGCUGUUUGCGAUAUACAGUAAGCGGCCAAGCGAAAGCAUUAAGUAUUCCACCUUGGGAGUACGCCGGCAACGGUGAAACUCAAAUGAAUUGACGGGG